GGCAGGUGUGAAGGUAGUGAGUUAUCUCACUUGAUUAUUCAUAGUCAGUUAUAGAUUGAACUCCCUGUUCUAAUCUUUCCCCUCUUCUCACUACUGCACUUGACUAGUCUUAA
Molecule: Y RNA, 113 nt
Filed under: Microcebus murinus (gray mouse lemur)
Lineage: Eukaryota; Metazoa; Chordata; Mammalia; Primates; Cheirogaleidae
Description: Y RNA (ENSMICG00000043607.1)
Rfam family: Y RNA
About the family: Y RNAs are components of the Ro ribonucleoprotein particle (Ro RNP), in association with Ro60 and La proteins.
Source: Rfam by way of RNAcentral